UGGCAAGGAUGAUGGGAGACCCAGAGGAUGCUUAAGGUCGAGAAGGAUGCUAGAGAAGGCUGGAGCUCUCGGGGAAGAAGAAGGGACCGAAGGACUCUCUCAGACAGGGUGAAACCCCUAAGGAGGAAGACGUGUUUAAAUAGGCAACAGGACCUGGAGCGGUUAUGAUCACGGAUCUCCUCUGACCGGCCUGUACCUGUCGCGUGUCCCACUCACUU
RNAcentral lists this long non-coding RNA (218 nucleotides) under Elaeis guineensis (African oil palm). Its description in RNAcentral is "long non-coding RNA (EGUI_LNC056094)". Lineage: Eukaryota; Viridiplantae; Streptophyta; Magnoliopsida; Arecales; Arecaceae. The record is from RNAcentral.